GAGAACAUAGCCUAAAUAAUAAGGUUUUGGGUUGAAGUUCCAAGGAUGGUCCCACGGACCUGUUCUCA
This 68-nucleotide transfer RNA is filed under the name Nipponacmea nigrans. RNAcentral describes it as "tRNA-Phe". Lineage: Eukaryota; Metazoa; Mollusca; Gastropoda; Lottiidae. The record is from RNAcentral.